RNAcentral lists this ribosomal RNA (429 nucleotides) under Chloroflexota bacterium. Its description in RNAcentral is "Chloroflexi bacterium partial 16S ribosomal RNA". It matches the Rfam family "Bacterial small subunit ribosomal RNA", at positions 355 to 776 of the family's 1533-position model. The record is from RNAcentral. Lineage: Bacteria; Bacillati; Chloroflexota.
UGGGGAAUAUUGCACAAUGGGCGCAAGCCUGAUGCAGCCAUGCCGCGUGUGUGAAGAAGGCCUUCGGGUUGUAAAGCACUUUCAGCGGGGAGGAAGGCGGUGAGGUUAAUAACCUCAUCGAUUGACGUUACCCGCAGAAGAAGCACCGGCUAACUCCGUGCCAGCAGCCGCGGUAAUACGGAGGGUGCAAGCGUUAAUCGGAAUUACUGGGCGUAAAGCGCACGCAGGCUGUCUGUCAAGUCUGAUGUGAAAUCCCCGGGCUCAACCUGGGAACUGCAUUCGAAACUGGCAGGCUAGAGUCUUGUAGAGGGGGGUAGAAUUCCAGGUGUAGCGGUGAAAUGCGUAGAGAUCUGGAGGAAUACCGGUGGCGAAGGCGGCCCCCUGGACAAAGACUGACGCUCAGGUGCGAAAGCGUGGGGAGCAAACAGG